GUCACCUCUGGCCCGCGCCCGUCGAUAGCCCACAACAAACUCUUUUAAACCGUGUCCUGUCUGAAUAAACCAAAAAAUUAAGCACAAAACUUUCAACAACGGAUCUCUUGGUUCUGGCAUCGAUGAAGAACGCAGCGAAAUGCGAUAAGUAAUGCGAAUUGCAGAAUUCCGUGAGUCAUCGAAUCUUUGAACGCACAUUGCGCCCUCUGGUAUUCCGGAGGGCAUGCCUGUUCGAGCGUCAUUAUCAACCCUCAAGCCCCGG
RNAcentral lists this ribosomal RNA (262 nucleotides) under Chaetothyriales sp. 16708. Its description in RNAcentral is "5.8S ribosomal RNA". The stretch from base 88 to 241 matches the Rfam family "5.8S ribosomal RNA". From Rfam's summary of the family: 5.8S ribosomal RNA (5.8S rRNA) is a component of the large subunit of the eukaryotic ribosome. Lineage: Eukaryota; Fungi; Ascomycota; Eurotiomycetes; Chaetothyriales. The record is from RNAcentral.